Molecule: long non-coding RNA, 528 nt
Organism: Lemur catta (Ring-tailed lemur)
Lineage: Eukaryota; Metazoa; Chordata; Mammalia; Primates; Lemuridae
Exons: 3
Source: RefSeq, a predicted model, not a curated record
AAGCAGAAGCCGCUAGGCUGGGAACUAGCGCAGUAUCACUUCUGCCACCUCCUGUUGGUCAGAGUAGCCACCGUUCACCCAGAUGGAAAGGGGCAGAGAAAGGGGCCUCACCUCUUGAUGGUGAGAGCAAGGUCACGUUGCAGAAGAGCACGGGGGAUGGGAGCCACUGUCAGUGCCAUCCUGGAAGGCACAAUCUGUCACGGCCUCAAAGUGCUGUCAGCUACGCUUCUGCCCAGAUAAGCAGAGCUUCCUCACCCUAGCCGAGCACUCCCGACUCUCCAAAGAGCCAAGCUGCCCGCGACGCCCGUCCAGAUGCAGCCACUGUUCCCAGGUCCUCAUGUCCUGCCAGAAAUAUGCUCUGCAUUUACAAGCAACGCUUGUUGAAGAACCGACAGCCAUGUGGAAAUGCGGUUGGACAGAAGGUAUGCUUAGGGGUAAUAGCCGCAGGGGAGCCCCCGCAAGGCCUGUCGGGCCAGAGUCUUCUUGGUCUCUCUGUGUAGCAUUCUUUCCUCUUGGGUUUGAGGCAGG